This 651-nucleotide long non-coding RNA is filed under the name Equus asinus (donkey). RNAcentral describes it as "lncRNA (ENSEASG00005034642.1)". Lineage: Eukaryota; Metazoa; Chordata; Mammalia; Perissodactyla; Equidae. The record is from RNAcentral.
GAAGAUCCUCGAAAAGCCUGUUUGUUGGGCUUCCCUUGGUGUUCUGUUUCUGUGUCGCCAAACACUUGUUUUCCAAUCGUUUGCUCCUUUUCGCCUGUGAAUUGUCUUCCUUCCCUUUGAGGUCCCUGAUUCUGCCUCCCCAGGCAUCUGCUUUUGUCUUUAGCUGAGGAUGGUAUUUAAGCACCCUGCUCCAGAGGGGCUCCGAGUAAGGAAGCUUCUGGAUCCAUGCAAGUCAUUGCCCCAGUGCUCCUGGAUCGAGGGCCAAUCUCUGCCAUCUGCACCUUCAACUGGGCAGCCCACACUUCCCAGCUUCUUCUCCAUCUCGGGCCCCUGCUGCCUCUUCCCUACUCAAGAUACUGAGCUUCAGAGAGGGUAACAUGCCUGCCAUGGUCACCCAGCAAGGUGGGGCAUGCUUCAGACUAGCUGCUCUUCUCUCCUUCUCCAGACAGACUGCAGUUUUUCAAAAUGGAAAUAUCUUUAUUUUUUAUUUUAAUUUUUUCCCAAAGUAAUACAGACUCUUUGUAAAACAAAAUUAUAUAUGUGUGUAUAUAUGUGUACAAUUCUAUGUGUGUGUAUUUUUCACUUAAUUAUUAUUGUGGACAUCAUUUUAAUGAGUAUAUAAUAGACCAUGAGGUGAAUGUCACAUAAUAU